Molecule: long non-coding RNA, 837 nt
Organism: Acanthochromis polyacanthus (spiny chromis)
Lineage: Eukaryota; Metazoa; Chordata; Actinopteri; Pomacentridae
Exons: 7
Source: RefSeq, a predicted model, not a curated record
CAGGUGGAGGAUAGAUGAAGGACAGAUGGAGGAUAGAUGGAGGAUAGAUGGAGGACAGAUGGAGGAUAGAUGGAGGACAGGUGGAGGAUAGAUGGAGGAUAGAUGGAGGACAGAUGGAGGAUAGAUGGAGGACAGGUGGAGGAUAGAUGGAGGAUAGAUGGAGGACAGGUGGAGGAUAGAUGGAGGACAGGUGGAGGAUAGAUGGAGGAUAGAUGGAGGAUAGAUUGAGGACAGGUGGAGGACGGAUGGAGGACAGGUGGAGGAUAGAUGGAGGACAGGUGGACGAUAGAUGGAGGACAGGUGGACGAUAGAUGGAGGACAGGUGGAGGAUAGAUGGAGGACAGGUGGAGGAUAGAUGGAGGAUAGAGGGAGGACAGAUGGAGGACAGGUGGACGAUAGAUGGAGGACAGGUGGAGGAUGGAUGGAGGAUAGGUGGAGGAUAGAGGGAGGACAGAUGGAGGACAGGUGGAGGAUAGAUGGAGGACAGGUGGAGGAUAGAUGGAGGACAGGUGGAGGAUAGAGGGAGGACAGAUGGAGGACAGGUGGAGGAUAGAUGGAGGACAGGUGGAGGAUAGAUGGAGGACAGGUGGAGGACAGGUGGAGGACAGGUGGAGGAUAGAUGGAGGACAGGUGGAGGACAGGUGGAGGAUAGAUGGAGGACAGGUGGAGGAUAGAUGGAGGACAGGUGGAGGACAGGUGGAGGACAGGUGGAGGAUAGAUGGAGGACAGGUGGAGGACAGGUGGAGGAUAGAUGGAGGAUAGAUGGAGGAUAGAGGGAGGACAGGUGGACGAUAGAUGGAGGACAGGUGGAGGAUAGAUGGAGGACAGGUGGAGGAC